UUCUGUUGUGUCGAAUUUCGGAAUGUAAAAACAUCUUUGACGCAACCUGCGCUGACACACUUGCUCCGUCCCAUGUCAAGGAAACAGUCUUAAAAGCGGGAGUCGCUGUGCAGAUAGCUGAAACGACUAAAACGGCACAAAUAUAAUUAAUUGCGGGAAAUGCUGCCAGCAUUCUUUGGAUCAUUUCUCGGGCAGAUGAGUUGUAAAUAUUUAUUGUAAGAAAUCGAAAUAAAUUUGUUAAGUUUUUA
This is a long non-coding RNA of Melitaea cinxia (Glanville fritillary), 248 nucleotides long. RefSeq lists it as uncharacterized. The record is from RefSeq and is a predicted model, not a curated record. The transcript has 2 exons. NCBI's taxonomy places the organism in Eukaryota, Metazoa, Arthropoda, Insecta, Lepidoptera, Nymphalidae.